Molecule: RNA transcript, 1607 nt
Organism: Brachypodium distachyon (stiff brome)
Lineage: Eukaryota; Viridiplantae; Streptophyta; Magnoliopsida; Poales; Poaceae
Exons: 10
Source: RefSeq, a predicted model, not a curated record
UAUAGUCCCUGUGAAAGCUGGAAUUGUGAGGACGAGGUCUCGGAAAAUGGGGUGGGAGCUUUCUGCGGUGACCAUGGAGGAGGUGCUCGGCCUGGUGCCGGGCUUCGUAGACAUCCUCGUCCUCGCCGGGGGCCGCACCUCCUACGGCACCGCCGCUACCUGGCGGUCCGGCGAUGUCCAGAAAGCCCUCCGGUGGGCGCUCUUCUUUGAGGAGGUUUUCAGGAACCUUCGUGACACUGGACAGUACGAAGAUUCGGCAAGAGAGUUCGAUGCAGCACUCGUGGAGCUCACUUCAAGCCCGGAUUUCCCCAAGGGUCUUGCUGAUAUGCGAUCGGGGACACUCGCGAUGGCUAGGGUAUUGGUCCUAAAACAUUUUCUGAAAGCCAAAACAAUGAGUGUGGAGAAUCUCCGUGCUCUUCUUGAAGCGGUUGUGGAGAUGGAUGUCGAUGGCAUUGGUGGUUGUGGUGGGCACCAUGCGUUCCAAGAGUAUGUAAAUUCAAUAUUGAAUAUGAAUUUGUCUAGUUUGAUGCGGAUGGAGAACGCCGGCGUUGUUGGAGCUCCCACUGGUUCUGAUAGACUGUAUUCAAAAUCCAUAUUUAUGGGUCAUUCACGGAUUCUAGUUAAAGAACUUUUGGAGAGGUUAGAUUCAGCAUUAUGUAUUUCUUUGGCUGACAGAGGACUGAGCACACUUCAGAAUGGUGGGAAAAAGAACAGCUUUGGUGACGCAGGGAGCAUGUCAUGCGCACUCGCGAUCCCUAAAAAAUCCCAAAUGAUCGACAAACUUCUUCUGUGGAAGCAGUGGAGAGGGCAGUGUUUGUCAUACUUGCUUGAUGAACGUACCAUUCGGAUUGUGUCGGGAUCUAGUUUUAUCUUUAGUGCUCCAAAGGAGCAGUGGAUGAAAGUGUUUGAACCAUUAAAAGGUUCUGUCGAUUCUUGUCAGAGUGGCCUCACUGAAGUCAUGGAGCUAUGCUUGCUGGGUUUGGUUUCGAGGCGAUGGGAUCCAUUAAUUGGGAGCUUUAUGUCACAUACUUUUAAUUCCCUUCCUAUAUCCAAGCAGUAUACCGAUCUGCACCAGUUGCUUCCUGGAAUUUCUCAGGAUGAAUACCAAGAUAGGCUUCUUAGUUCCAAGGAAAAGGACAUUCUUGAGUAUGCAUGGCAGUCAAUAGAAAGUAAGCCACACUUAUUAUGGCUUCUACCUCCAGUUCUUACUGCCGCAGCAAUCCCACCAUGGUCGACCUUGUUUAAGAUAUACCUUGCCGAAAUAGACAAGCAAUUUGAUGAAGCUUCUUCCACAAAUCGAAAAUGUAAUUGCAGAAGAGAUGGGAUAGAGCAGCAUCAUAACUGUGAGAUUGCUGAAAGGAUUCAAUGUCUCUACACAUUGCAUGUUGAACAACCACAUCUAACGCUUCGGUAGUGGCGGUAGAUCAAAACAGUCCUGGGGAUUUGCAAUAUGCACUUCAGCUCCUACUAAUUUAAAGAAGAUAAAUCCUGGCAAAUCAGUGGCCUUGGAAGAUCAUUCACUCCCAUUAUCUGAACAACUGCACAAGACCAGCAAAAUUAUUUCUUCAGUAAUUUCCCUCCCAAGUUUGAUGUGGUAGACCCUUACA